RNAcentral lists this ribosomal RNA (478 nucleotides) under uncultured bacterium. Its description in RNAcentral is "bacterial SSU rRNA". It matches the Rfam family "Bacterial small subunit ribosomal RNA", at positions 30 to 524 of the family's 1533-position model. The record is from RNAcentral.
AUUGAACGCUGGCGGCAUGCCUAACACAUGCAAGUCGAACGGUAACGGGCCCUUCGGGGUGCUGACGAGUGGCGGAUGGGUGAGUAAUACUUAGGAAUCUACCCUGUAGUGGGGGACAACCCGGGGAAACGUCGGGCUAAUACCGCAUACACUCUACGGAGGAAAGCGGGGGACCGCAAGGCCUCGCGCUAUUGGAUGAGCCUAAGCCCGAUUAGCUAGUUGGUGGGGUAAUGGCCUACCAAGCCUGCGAUCUGUAGCUGGUCUGAGAGGACGAUCAGCCACACUGGGACUGAGACACGGCCCAGACUCCUACGGGAGGCAGCAGUGGGGAAUCUUGCGCAAUGGGCGAAAGCCUGACGCAGCCAUGCCGCGUGAGUGAAGAAGGUCUUAGGAUUGUAAAAGCUCUUUUCGCUCGUGACGAUGAUGACGUAACGAGAGAAGAAGCCCCGGCUAACUUCGUGCCAGCCGCCGCGGUAAU